CCUACGGGUGGCAGCAGUGAGGAAUAUUGGUCAAUGGACGAGAGUCUGAACCAGCCAAGUAGCGUGAAGGAUGACUGCCCUAUGGGUUGUAAACUUCUUUUAUAAAGGAAUAAAACGAGGCACGUGUGCCUUUUUGCAUGUACUUUAUGAAUAAGGAUCGGCUAACUCUGUGCCAGCAGCCGCGGUAAUACGGAGGAUCCGAGCGUUAUCCGGAUUUAUUGGGUUUAAAGGGAGCGUAGAUGGGUUGUUAAGUCAGUUGUGAAAGGUUGCGGCUCAACCGUAAAAUUGCAAUUGAUACUGGCAGUCUUGAGUACAGUUGGGGUAGGCGGAAUUCGUGGUGUAGCGGUGAAAUGCUUAGAUAUCACGAAGAACCCCGAUUGCGAAGGCAGCUUACUAAACUGUGACUGACAUUGAUGCUCGAAAGUGUGGGUAUCAAACAGGAUUAGAUACCCGAGUAGUC
Molecule: ribosomal RNA, 460 nt
Filed under: uncultured bacterium
Lineage: Bacteria
Description: partial 16S ribosomal RNA
Rfam family: Bacterial small subunit ribosomal RNA
Source: RNAcentral